CGCGGGGUGGAGCAGCUCGGUAGCUCGCUGGGCUCAUAACCCAGAGGUCGCAGGUUCGAAUCCUGUCCCCGCUA
Mycobacterium sp. is the source of this 74-nucleotide non-coding RNA. NCBI's taxonomy places the organism in Bacteria, Bacillati, Actinomycetota, Actinomycetes, Mycobacteriales, Mycobacteriaceae. The record is from Rfam.